This 1556-nucleotide ribosomal RNA is filed under the name uncultured bacterium. Its description in RNAcentral is "bacterial SSU rRNA". It matches the Rfam family "Bacterial small subunit ribosomal RNA". The record is from RNAcentral.
AGAGUUUGAUCAUGGCUCAGGACGAACGCUGGCGGCGUGCCUAAUACAUGCAAGUCGAGCGAGCGGAACUAACAGAUUUACUUCUGUAAUGACGUUAGGAAAGCGAGCGGCGGAUGGGUGAGUAACACGUGGGGAACCUGCCCCAUAGUCUGGGAUACCACUUGGAAACAGGUGCUAAUACCGGAUAAGAAAGCAGAUCGCAUGAUCAGCUUUUAAAAGGCGGCGUAAGCUGUCGCUAUGGGAUGGCCCCGCGGUGCAUUAGCUAGUUGGUAAGGUAAAGGCUUACCAAGGCGAUGAUGCAUAGCCGAGUUGAGAGACUGAUCGGCCACAUUGGGACUGAGACACGGCCCAAACUCCUACGGGAGGCAGCAGUAGGGAAUCUUCCACAAUGGACGCAAGUCUGAUGGAGCAACGCCGCGUGAGUGAAGAAGGUUUUCGGAUCGUAAAGCUCUGUUGUUGGUGAAGAAGGAUAGAGGUAGUAACUGGCCUUUAUUUGACGGUAAUCAACCAGAAAGUCACGGCUAACUACGUGCCAGCAGCCGCGGUAAUACGUAGGUGGCAAGCGUUGUCCGGAUUUAUUGGGCGUAAAGCGAGCGCAGGCGGAAGAAUAAGUCUGACGUGAAAGCCCUCGGCUUAACCGAGGAACUGCAUCGGAAACUGUUUUUCUUGAGUGCAGAAGAGGAGAGUGGAACUCCAUGUGUAGCGGUGGAAUGCGUAGAUAUAUGGAAGAACACCAGUGGCGAAGGCGGCUCUCUGGUCUGCAACUGACGCUGAGGCUCGAAAGCAUGGGUAGCGAACAGGAUUAGAUACCCUGGUAGUCCAUGCCGUAAACGAUGAGUGCUAAGUGUUGGGAGGUUUCCGCCUCUCAGUGCUGCAGCUAACGCAUUAAGCACUCCGCCUGGGGAGUACGACCGCAAGGUUGAAACUCAAAGGAAUUGACGGGGGCCCGCACAAGCGGUGGAGCAUGUGGUUUAAUUCGAAGCAACGCGAAGAACCUUACCAGGUCUUGACAUCUAGUGCCAUUUGUAGAGAUACAAAGUUCCCUUCGGGGACGCUAAGACAGGUGGUGCAUGGCUGUCGUCAGCUCGUGUCGUGAGAUGUUGGGUUAAGUCCCGCAACGAGCGCAACCCUUGUUAUUAGUUGCCAGCAUUAAGUUGGGCACUCUAAUGAGACUGCCGGUGACAAACCGGAGGAAGGUGGGGAUGACGUCAAGUCAUCAUGCCCCUUAUGACCUGGGCUACACACGUGCUACAAUGGGCAGUACAACGAGAAGCGAGCCUGCGAAGGCAAGCGAAUCUCUGAAAGCUGUUCUCAGUUCGGACUGCAGUCUGCAACUCGACUGCACGAAGCUGGAAUCGCUAGUAAUCGCGGAUCAGCACGCCGCGGUGAAUACGUUCCCGGGCCUUGUACACACCGCCCGUCACACCAUGGGAGUCUGCAAUGCCCAAAGCCGGUGGCCUAACCUUCGGGAAGGAGCCGUCUAAGGCAGGGCAGAUGACUGGGGUGAAGUCGUAACAAGGUAGCCGUAGGAGAACCUGCGGCUGGAUCACCUCCUU